Molecule: transfer RNA, 84 nt
Filed under: Rhodospirillaceae bacterium
Lineage: Bacteria; Pseudomonadati; Pseudomonadota; Alphaproteobacteria; Rhodospirillales; Rhodospirillaceae
Also listed under: 2 other names
Description: tRNA-Leu
Rfam family: tRNA
About the family: Transfer RNA (tRNA) molecules are approximately 80 nucleotides in length. Their secondary structure includes four short double-helical elements and three loops (D, anti-codon, and T loops).
Source: RNAcentral
GCCUCGGUGGCGGAACUGGUAGACGCGCGGGACUCAAAAUCCCGUUCUUGCAAAAGAGUGAGAGUUCAAGUCUCUCCCGAGGCA